AUACGUAGGGGGCGAGCGUUGUCCGGAAUGAUUGGGCGUAAAGGGCGCGUAGGCGGCGCGGUAAGUCUGGAGUGCAAGUCCUGCUUUCAAGGUGGGAAUUGCUUUGGAUACUGCCGCGCUUGAGUGCAGGAGAGGUUAUCGGAAUUCCCGGUGUAGCGGUGAAAUGCGUAGAGAUCGGGAGGAACACCAGUGGCGAAGGCGGGUAACUGGACUGCAACUGACGCUGAGGCGCGAAAGUGUGGGGAGCAAACAGGAUUAGAUACCCUGGUAGUCCACACUGUAAACGAUGAAUGCUAGGUGUAAGAGGUAUCGACCCCUUUUGUGCCGGAGUCAACACAAUAAGCAUUCCGCCUGGGGAGUACGGCCGCAAGGUUGAAACUCAAAUGAAUUGGCGGGG
RNAcentral lists this ribosomal RNA (397 nucleotides) under uncultured bacterium. RNAcentral's name for it is "partial 16S ribosomal RNA". It matches the Rfam family "Bacterial small subunit ribosomal RNA", at positions 523 to 918 of the family's 1533-position model. The record is from RNAcentral.